UUCCCAGGCCUUGUACACACCGCCCGUCACACCAUGGGAGUUGGAUUCACCCGAAGGCAGUGCGCUAACCGCAAGGAGGCAGCUGACCACGGUGGGUUCAGCGACUGGGGUGAAGUCGUAACAAGGUAGCCGUAGGGGAACCUGCGGCUGGAUCACCUCCUUU
RNAcentral lists this ribosomal RNA (163 nucleotides) under Sphingomonas sp. PsM26. RNAcentral describes it as "partial 16S ribosomal RNA". It matches the Rfam family "Bacterial small subunit ribosomal RNA", at positions 1371 to 1533 of the family's 1533-position model. The record is from RNAcentral. Lineage: Bacteria; Pseudomonadati; Pseudomonadota; Alphaproteobacteria; Sphingomonadales; Sphingomonadaceae.